This 72-nucleotide transfer RNA is filed under the name Desmophyllum pertusum. RNAcentral describes it as "Lophelia pertusa tRNA". It matches the Rfam family "tRNA". From Rfam's summary of the family: Transfer RNA (tRNA) molecules are approximately 80 nucleotides in length. Their secondary structure includes four short double-helical elements and three loops (D, anti-codon, and T loops). The record is from Rfam by way of RNAcentral. Lineage: Eukaryota; Metazoa; Cnidaria; Anthozoa; Scleractinia; Caryophylliidae.
UCUUCUGUAGCUCAGUGGUAGAGCGUCCGACCGGUUCACAGAAGGUCAUAGGUUCAACUCCUGUUGGGAGAA